GAUAAGUGCUGAAAGCAUCUAAGCAUGAAGCCCCCCUCAAGAUGAGAUUUCCCAACUUCGGUUAUAAGAUCCCUCAAAGAUGAUGAGGUUAAUAGGUUCGAGGUGGAAGCAUGGUGACAUGUGGAGCUGACGAAUACUAAUCGAUCGAAGACUUAAUCAA
This 160-nucleotide ribosomal RNA is filed under the name Staphylococcus aureus. RNAcentral describes it as "partial 23S ribosomal RNA". It matches the Rfam family "Bacterial large subunit ribosomal RNA", at positions 2763 to 2925 of the family's 2925-position model. The record is from RNAcentral. Lineage: Bacteria; Bacillati; Bacillota; Bacilli; Caryophanales; Staphylococcaceae.